RNAcentral lists this ribosomal RNA (460 nucleotides) under uncultured bacterium. Its description in RNAcentral is "partial 16S ribosomal RNA". It matches the Rfam family "Bacterial small subunit ribosomal RNA", at positions 338 to 795 of the family's 1533-position model. The record is from RNAcentral.
CCUACGGGAUGCAGCAGUGAGGAAUCUUGGUCAAUGGGCGGAAGCCUGAACCAGCCAAGUCGCGUGAGGGAUUAAGGCCCUGCGGGUCGUCAACCUCUUUUGCCGGGGAGCAGAGGUCCGGCAGUGUCCGGGCCGGGCGAGUGCCCGGAGAAAAAGCAUCGGCUAACUCCGUGACAGCAGCCGCGGUAAUACGGAGGGUGCCAGCGAUAUCCGGAUUUAUGGUGUUAAAAGUGUUCGUAGGCGGGCAUUUAAGCCGGCGGUCAAAUGUCGGGGCUCAACCCCGGCCUGCCGUCGGAACUGGGUGCCUUGAGUGGGCGAGAAGUAGGCGGAAUGCGUGGUGUAGCGGUGAAAGGCAUAGAUAUCACGCAGAACCCCGAUGGCGAAGGCAGCAUACCGGCGCCCUACUGACGCUGAGGCACGAAAGUGCGGGUAUCGAACAGGAUUAGAUACCCUGGUAGUC